Molecule: transfer RNA, 94 nt
Filed under: candidate division CPR3 bacterium GWF2_35_18
Lineage: Bacteria; candidate division CPR3
Also listed under: 2 other names
Description: tRNA-Ser
Rfam family: tRNA
About the family: Transfer RNA (tRNA) molecules are approximately 80 nucleotides in length. Their secondary structure includes four short double-helical elements and three loops (D, anti-codon, and T loops). Further hydrogen bonds mediate the characteristic L-shaped molecular structure. tRNAs have two regions of fundamental functional importance: the anti-codon, which is responsible for specific mRNA codon recognition, and the 3' end, to which the tRNAs corresponding amino acid is attached (by aminoacyl-tRNA synthetases). tRNAs cope with the degeneracy of the genetic code in two manners: having more than one tRNA (with a specific anti-codon) for a particular amino acid; and 'wobble' base-pairing, i.e. permitting non-standard base-pairing at the 3rd anti-codon position.
Source: RNAcentral
GGAGAGGUGGCUGAGUGGCCGAAAGCGGCGGUUUGCUAAACCGUUAUACUGGUUAAAACUGGUAUCCAGGGUUCGAAUCCCUGCCUCUCCGCCA